RNAcentral lists this transfer RNA (83 nucleotides) under Schistocephalus solidus. It matches the Rfam family "tRNA". From Rfam's summary of the family: Transfer RNA (tRNA) molecules are approximately 80 nucleotides in length. Their secondary structure includes four short double-helical elements and three loops (D, anti-codon, and T loops). The record is from Rfam by way of RNAcentral. Lineage: Eukaryota; Metazoa; Platyhelminthes; Cestoda; Diphyllobothriidea; Diphyllobothriidae.
GGCCUUGUAGCUCGGUUGGCUAGAUCGUUGGCUAUACUAAAUCGUUCCCUUCGCUGCCGUGGGUUCAAAUCCCACCGAGGCCG